Drosophila virilis is the source of this 895-nucleotide non-coding RNA. NCBI's taxonomy places the organism in Eukaryota, Metazoa, Arthropoda, Insecta, Diptera, Drosophilidae. The record is from RefSeq and is a predicted model, not a curated record.
UAUAUAUAUAAUAAGAAAUUGGACCCGAUUUCGUUUCUGGACACUAGCGUUGUCCAUCGCCGCUGUCGUCGCCAACGUUGUUGUGUUUUUUUUUUUGUCUGGUGGUUGAGUGAAACAGUGAAAGAACGGCAAAUCCAGUGGAAAAAGUACGGCCCGAUACCCGAUACCGAUACCAAUAUCAAUAUCAGCCAUACAAAUAUCGAUAACGAUACCGAUGCCGAUAACAAGCUACGAAAACCCAAAGCAAAACCAAAAUUAAACAAUUGAUAUUUUGUAAUUAUAGCCACAGACAAUUUUCGAUCAAGUCCAUUAGACGACGCUCGCAUUUUUCACAUGCAUAUCUACUGAUCCAGCCAUAAUCAACGCAAAAUCGCAAGUGGGCCCCUACCAACUAAAUCAGAAGAGUUACGAUCUACCAUAUAAAACCAUCCAGAAACAAUCGAGUUGACAGUCAGCAAAAGCUAAAACGAGCAGCCGAGCAGCAGAGCAGCAGAGCAGCAGAGCAGCCGAGCAGCCCAGCAGCAGCUACAGUGAUCGAUAUUUGACUCAAGAGGAACCUUCUUUGCCGUACCUAAACAGGCUGCUCUUCGUUUCAUACCAGAUAAUCACUGACACAGCUGACGCCGCAUCGUUAUCAUAACUCUAACAACUGAAUAUUGGGCCAUUGACAACAACAACAACAACAACAACAAAAACAACAAAAACAGCAACAAGAACAACAAGAAAACAAUUACCAAUAGCCAGGCCCAAACCGUAACAGUCAAAUCAAUCUAUCAAAGCUAGCAGGAAUCUGUUUUCACCUAAUUUGGCCAAAUUGACGCAUUUAACAGGGUUUUUUUUUUCGAUUCGGACAACAUUUUAACAUCAACAGUUUUUCUUCGAAAUUCACUGAAAA